CUAGCAGUAUCAGAGUUUGAUCCUGGCUCAGGAUAAACGCUGGCGGCGUGCAUAACACAUGCAAGUCGAACGAUGAAACUUAACUGAUUUCUUCGGAAUGAUUUUAAGUGGAUUAGUGGCGGACGGGUGAGUAACGCGUGAGUAACCUGCCUUGCACAAGGGGAUAGCCGUUGGAAACGACGAAUAAUACCCUAUGAUAUAAACUCUUCGCAUGAAGGGCUUAUCAAAGAUUUAUCGGUGUAAGAUGGACUCGCGUCUGAUUAGCUAGUUGGUGGGAUAAAAGCCUACCAAGGCAACGAUCAGUAGCCGGCUUGAGAGAGUGUACGGCCACAUUGGGACUGAGACACGGCCCAG
This 354-nucleotide ribosomal RNA is filed under the name uncultured bacterium. RNAcentral's name for it is "bacterial SSU rRNA". It matches the Rfam family "Bacterial small subunit ribosomal RNA", at positions 1 to 334 of the family's 1533-position model. The record is from RNAcentral.